UGGAGACGGAGACAGGGAGGAUUAUCGUGAGCGCUGGAGGCUCGGUGCUGCCUCCUUGAGGUUGCGCGGGGGACCCAGACGGAGGGCCCGGAGGCUCCGGCGGACACCCGCCGUCUCCCGGGGAGUCUGCGGGCGCCCUCGACCACAGCCACGGGGGUGGGGAUGCAGGUCUCGGCAGGCGGACCCCCGACCCCUCACCAGAGCCCCGGCCGGCCUCUCCCACCCUGGGCUUUCGGCGCUCCCAGCAUCCCCAGCUCUCGCACCUCCGGGCGCUUGUUCAAGCUGUGCCCUCUGCCUGAAACACUUCCUCCAGGCAUUAAACUCCUCGUCCUCCCAGGCCUCCCCAGGCAGCCUCCCUUGGCCGUGCACCCCGCCCCUGGCCAGAGUUUCGGCUCCUGCCUCCGGUUUCCCCGGAGCCCCACAGCCCUCGGGUACAGCGUCCUCUCCUCCCCACCGAGGGGUCCGCAGGGCUCCGAUGGACAGACGCCGAAUGAACUGGAAUAUCUGGAGCAGCGGAGACGCGGGGCGUGGAGGGUAAACCCCCGCCGACUCGCACACCCGCCCCCCAGGGCCGGUUACGUGGUUGAAGGGACAGCAGGACCCGGCGCGGGCGCAGGGAGCCUUUUCCUGGCCCGAGGGUGCCCCCUGGGGGCCGGAGCCGCCCAGCAGCUGUGCCAUGCGGCAUGUGGGAUCUUAGCUCCCGCACCAGCGAUCGAACCUGCGCCCCCUGCGUUGGAAGCACAGAGUCUUAACUACUGGACCUCCAGGGAAGUCCCCUUUGAGUUUAAUUUUUUAGUAUAGCUACAUUUAAGUGCAAUAUCUUGGACAUACUUAUACCAAAAAACUGAUUCAUUGUUUAUCUGAAAUUCAAAUCUAAUUGGGCAUCCUGCAUUUUUAUUUGCUAAAUCUGGCAACCUAGGGCCUACAUAGGUAACAGGGACCAGGGGGAAUGGCAAGGGUCGGACAGCCCCAACCUGGACCCUGAAAACUCUGCCCUCCAGUCAGCCUGAAAGCCUCCUUUCCAAACCUCUGCCCUGGUACCUGGAAGGGGCGGGAGCCCAGAGACUCCUUGGGAGGAAUUAUUCCACUGCUGCCCACUUCUCUCCUCUCUCUGGGCCUAGUUUCCUUCUUUGUAAAAUGAAACUCAUGGUUUCUCUGCCCCGUUUCCCAACCUCUCCCAAGGAUCAAACACCUGAGUCGAGUAGGGGAUUCUCAGCUGACCAAAUGCACCCAGAAGGCAAACAGGCUUGUGAGAGUUUCUGUUCUUUGGCUCACCCAAGGGCCUUGAGGAAUAAUUAAGACAAAGGUCCUUUUUUGCUUGUUUUUUCCCAAAGUACCUCGUAAACCAGUUAAACUACCUCAGUGAUAAUUGAUUCAGACAUGAUCAUCAACUAAAAGCAUUGGGUGAAAGUUUGUUGGGAAUUAGGACAUUCACAGGGUAUCAAAGUAAAAGUUACCUUUACAAUAGGGAGACCAGGCAGGCGCCAACAGGCAGGUGACCCAUCACCUGCCCUUUGAUCCAAUCUGUCUCCAGACUAAAGGAGACUAAAGACACCCGGCCAAGUAAAGGCCAUGCCUGACCUGGGAUUACAGCCUGGACCGCAAAAAAUAAUGGCUAGAAAGGACAUUAUGGGACAACUGGGACAAGUGGAAUGUGGGCUGGGGAUUAGACAACUGUGUUGUUUCAAUGUUAAAUUCCCUGAAUUUGAUACUUGCACAGUGGUAUGUAGGAGAAUGGCCUUGUUCUUGGGAGAUGUGUGGUGAAGUGGGUAGAGGUGAAGGGCUACAUAUCUGCAACUAACUCUCCAUGGUGCAGCCAGAGCAAACAGAUAGACAGGGAGGAAGGGAGAAAAAGGUCAAAGGAUAACAGCUGGUGAAUCCGGUAGUUCAUUGUACUAUUCUUGCAACUUCUCUGUACAUUGGACAUUUUUCCAAAUAAAAAGUCUGAAGGAGCACCCACCCAGAAUAAAAUAUCAGAAGUAGAAGGGGUCUUAAAGACCUUGUUCCAUGACCCUUUCCCAGAGAGGGGAAGGUCUUGGCCUGUGGUCACACAGUGAGUGGCAUCUGAACCCUCCCCACUUGGUCUGAGUCCCAAGAGCAGGAAUGGGCCACCUAACCAGUGUCACCUCUCGUUCUUCUCCCUGCCGUCCCUCAGCUGCCAACACUCUGCCCCUGGGGCCACCCUACAGUCAUAUAGGAGGUGAGCAGCUCCUGGAGUGUGGGGAGAAAUCCACCCUGCCCCUCUCCAAAGAAACUGGACCACAACUCCCUCAUGCGAGGCCAAGCCUGGCAGGCCAUUUAGGUGAUGAUUAAAAGGAGAAAGCCAACUUCGUCACCUCCAAAUUUCACGAGAAGAAAAUCCAACAUCAGACAUCCACAUUCGUGAUAACCAUCAUCAAUCCAGGUGUAACAAAGAACACGGAGAAAAUCAGAAGUGACUGGGGGAAAUGCUGAGGUUCGGGGUGGUCUGUAGCUCCCCUGGCCUCUGUGGAAGGUGUCUCUGGAGAGAGCACCUGUGCUAUGGGUGGCCUAGGAAGCACCUAGCAAUGAGAACUUACUGGCUGCACAUGCUGAAGUUAAGCUUUCCUAUUUGAUUACUUGCUUUGCAAUCAAGGCCAGAGAGCCCUGGCGGGCCAGCAUGGGCCUGCACAGAGCAGGCACCUGCCCACUGUGUUGAAUUCACUCAUUCAACAAGUAUCUAUUGAGCACCUACUACAUGCUACUCUAUGUUCUGUGCUAGGUUCCAGGCAGGCAGGGGACUUCAAAGCAGAGUCCUGCUCUUAGGAAGCCCACAGUCCACUGUGAUGGGGUGGGACUGGGGGCAGCCCAUCCCUGAAAAAACACACAGGAUGACUUUAGCUCAAUGCUAGGUGCCAGGAAGACCACAAGAGGCUGCCUGGAGAGGGAGUCAGGGCAGGCCUUGCUGAGGACGGAACAUCUCACCUGAUGCCCAAGCAAGAAGCCAGGGCUGACCCUGAGGCAGCUGGGGAUGGUGUUCCAGAGAGAGGGGAAGGCCUGGACGUGGGACCAAGCCAAGCAGUUUGAGGAACAGGAAGGCCUGUGAGGCCCAGCAACGUGCUCAGGGUCGCAGGCUGAGGUCAGGCCAAGCGGGGCUUCCUCCUGCAGGCCUUGGAGGCGGAGUUUCCGGAUUUUAUU
Balaenoptera ricei (Rice's whale) is the source of this 3156-nucleotide long non-coding RNA. RefSeq lists it as uncharacterized. The transcript is spliced from 3 exons. The record is from RefSeq and is a predicted model, not a curated record. Lineage: Eukaryota; Metazoa; Chordata; Mammalia; Artiodactyla; Balaenopteridae.